Molecule: long non-coding RNA, 511 nt
Filed under: Sorghum bicolor (sorghum)
Lineage: Eukaryota; Viridiplantae; Streptophyta; Magnoliopsida; Poales; Poaceae
Description: long non-coding RNA (SBIC_LNC003957)
Source: RNAcentral
UGUGGCCCUUUGCCGCAUGAGCGCUGGCCUUCUUUGCCUCAGCGUGGAUCUCUCUGCCUGGCUGCUCGGCAUCUGCGUCGCGUCUGCAUCUGGCUGCUUUGCCACGAUCUACUUUGCUCUCUGAUCGAGAUUUGAUAAGGCUCCUAGGGUUAUCGAUCGUUUUUUUAUUCUCCCCCCAAACAUGUGGAUGCAGUCCAUCGGUACCACGUAGUUUUUUUUGUAGCCCAUUGGUAGAAUUUUCCCCCCUUUCUUAAUGAACUCUAAGUGAACGAUAUGGCUGCUGGUAUCGGGAGAGAGAGAGAGUAUUUUGUUUUGUUUUUUUAAUAAAGCCACAUGUAUUUUGAAACUAUAAAUUAUUCAUAUAUCCAUUAGAAUGAAUUUAGUCUCAUUCAUAAAUUAAAAAGUUAUAUAUAGAUUUCUCUUUCAUACCCGUAGUAAACAUGUGAGAAAUUCUUCUAGUUUCUUAUACAUAUGAGCUUUGGUAAAAUUAUGUCCGCUCAUCAAGAUCAAC